AGCUUUGCACAGAGGCAGUACCAUAGCCAAUGAGCUUUAUCCAAGGUGUGAUUAUUGCUCAUUGAAAACUUUUCCCAAUACUGCACCAUGAUGACUUGAAAUACAGUCCAGGGGAGGGGUAGAUAGCAUAAUGGUUAUGCAAAGAGACUUUCAUGCCUGAGGCUCCAAAG
Molecule: small nuclear RNA, 170 nt
Filed under: Erinaceus europaeus (western European hedgehog)
Lineage: Eukaryota; Metazoa; Chordata; Mammalia; Eulipotyphla; Erinaceidae
Description: U4 spliceosomal RNA (ENSEEUG00000018968.1)
Rfam family: U4 spliceosomal RNA (bases 1-84)
Source: RNAcentral